UAAUGUUUUUCUGGAGCUCUGAAGAUGUUUUGUUAAAGUCUAUAUAUUUACUUGUGUUUUAUAGAAACAUGCUUUUGAGGAUCUUGUUAUUUGACUUGGAAGCUACCUCCAGUGUUUACCGAGAUGAUUACCACUAUGCAAUUUGGAUUUGGCUUGCUUGAUGCUGGACGAUUAAUGAAGGAAGCCCUAACUGGACAAAGAAAAGGAUUGACAACAAGAUGUGGAUGUUCAUCUUUAAUGAACUGUAGUCACCAAGUGAAAAUCAGCUAAUUUUGAUGAUGCAACUGACCACCUACUCAGCAAUAGCUGAAUAUUUACUCCUUCAC
This is a long non-coding RNA of Corapipo altera (White-ruffed manakin), 326 nucleotides long. RefSeq lists it as uncharacterized. The transcript is spliced from 3 exons. NCBI's taxonomy places the organism in Eukaryota, Metazoa, Chordata, Aves, Passeriformes, Pipridae. The record is from RefSeq and is a predicted model, not a curated record.